GAUCCUGACUCAGGAUGAACGCUAGCUACAGGCUUAACACAUGCAAGUCGAGGGGCAGCAUGAACUUAGCUUGCUAAGUUUGAUGGCGACCGGCGCACGGGUGAGUAACGCGUAUCCAACCUACCCUUGUCCAUCGGAUAACCCGUCGAAAGGCUGCCUAACACGAUAUGCGGUUCACCGCAGGCAUCUAACGUGAACGAAAUGUGAAGGAGAAGGAUGGGGAUGCGUCUGAUUAG
This 236-nucleotide ribosomal RNA is filed under the name uncultured bacterium. Its description in RNAcentral is "partial 16S ribosomal RNA". It matches the Rfam family "Bacterial small subunit ribosomal RNA", at positions 15 to 244 of the family's 1533-position model. The record is from RNAcentral.